RNAcentral lists this unclassified non-coding RNA (199 nucleotides) under uncultured fungus. Its description in RNAcentral is "sequence contains ITS1, 5.8S rRNA gene". Lineage: Eukaryota; Fungi. The record is from RNAcentral.
CUGAGUCGUCGACACGAGUUGUUGCUGGUCCCUGAACAGGGGACACGUGCACGCUCUGUUUACACAUCCACUCACACCUGUGCACCCUCUGUAGUUCUAUGGUCUGGGGGGCCCUGCCUCCCUUCCGUGGUUCUGCAUCUUUACACAUACACUGUAACAAAGUUUAUGGAAUGUACAUCGCGUUUAACGCAAUACAAUA